GUGGGGAAUCUUAGACAAUGGGGGAAACCCUGAUCUAGCCAUGCCGCGUGAGCGAUGAAGGCCUUAGGGUUGUAAAGCUCUUUCAGCUGGGAAGAUAAUGACGGUACCAGCAGAAGAAGCCCCGGCUAACUCCGUGCCAGCAGCCGCGGUAAUACGGAGGGGGCUAGCGUUGUUCGGAAUUACUGGGCGUAAAGCGCGCGUAGGCGGACCAGAAAGUUGGAGGUGAAAUCCCAGGGCUCAACCUUGGAACUGCCUUCAAAACUCCUGGUCUGGAGUUCGAGAGAAGUGAGUGGAAUUCCGAGUGUAGAGGUGAAAUUCGUAGAUAUUCGGAGGAACACCAGUGGCGAAGGCGGCUCACUGGCUCGAUACUGACGCUGAGGUGCGAAAGCGUGGGGAGCAAACAGGAUUAGAUACCCGAGUAGUCC
Molecule: ribosomal RNA, 425 nt
Filed under: uncultured bacterium
Lineage: Bacteria
Description: partial 16S ribosomal RNA
Rfam family: Bacterial small subunit ribosomal RNA
Source: RNAcentral